AAACUAAUAAUUUGAUUGGUAGAAUGAUAGGGUAACGCCUUGAAAUGCCAACUCUAAUUUCCGACAUGCAAUAAUAGUUUAGAAUAUUAUUGUGUGAAGCUCGGUGAAGUCGAGUGAAGGUUACCGUAAGUAAUUAAUAUUUAAUUACACGAAAGUUCUUUGGAGGCAAAGAAUGUAGCUUAUAGCUCGUGAGCCUAUAAA
Molecule: non-coding RNA, 201 nt
Filed under: chicken gut metagenome
Source: RNAcentral